RNAcentral lists this ribosomal RNA (755 nucleotides) under Bacillus subtilis. RNAcentral's name for it is "bacterial SSU rRNA". It matches the Rfam family "Bacterial small subunit ribosomal RNA", at positions 48 to 785 of the family's 1533-position model. Lineage: Bacteria; Bacillati; Bacillota; Bacilli; Caryophanales; Bacillaceae. The record is from RNAcentral.
CUAAUACAUGCAAGUCGAGCGGACAGAUGGGAGCUUGCUCCCUGAUGUUAGCGGCGGACGGGUGAGUAACACGUGGGUAACCUGCCUGUAAGACUGGGAUAACUCCGGGAAACCGGGGCUAAUACCGGAUGGUUGUUUGAACCGCAUGGUUCAAACAUAAAAGGUGGCUUCGGCUACCACUUACAGAUGGACCCGCGGCGCAUUAGCUAGUUGGUGAGGUAACGGCUCACCAAGGCAACGAUGCGUAGCCGACCUGAGAGGGUGAUCGGCCACACUGGGACUGAGACACGGCCCAGACUCCUACGGGAGGCAGCAGUAGGGAAUCUUCCGCAAUGGACGAAAGUCUGACGGAGCAACGCCGCGUGAGUGAUGAAGGUUUUCGGAUCGUAAAGCUCUGUUGUUAGGGAAGAACAAGUACCGUUCGAAUAGGGCGGUACCUUGACGGUACCUAACCAGAAAGCCACGGCUAACUACGUGCCAGCAGCCGCGGUAAUACGUAGGUGGCAAGCGUUGUCCGGAAUUAUUGGGCGUAAAGGGCUCGCAGGCGGUUUCUUAAGUCUGAUGUGAAAGCCCCCGGCUCAACCGGGGAGGGUCAUUGGAAACUGGGGAACUUGAGUGCAGAAGAGGAGAGUGGAAUUCCACGUGUAGCGGUGAAAUGCGUAGAGAUGUGGAGGAACACCAGUGGCGAAGGCGACUCUCUGGUCUGUAACUGACGCUGAGGAGCGAAAGCGUGGGGAGCGAACAGGAUUAGAUAC